This 127-nucleotide small nuclear RNA is filed under the name Cricetulus griseus (Chinese hamster). RNAcentral describes it as "U2 spliceosomal RNA (ENSCGRG00015035743.1)". It matches the Rfam family "U2 spliceosomal RNA". From Rfam's summary of the family: U2 is a small nuclear RNA (snRNA) component of the spliceosome (involved in pre-mRNA splicing). Complementary binding between U2 snRNA (in an area lying towards the 5' end but 3' to hairpin I) and the branchpoint sequence (BPS) of the intron results the bulging out of an unpaired adenosine, on the BPS, which initiates a nucleophilic attack at the intronic 5' splice site, thus starting the first of two transesterification reactions that mediate splicing. The record is from RNAcentral. Lineage: Eukaryota; Metazoa; Chordata; Mammalia; Rodentia; Cricetidae.
AUGGCCUCUUGGCCUUUUGGCAAAGAUCAAGUGUAGUAUGGGUUCUUAUCAGUUUGAAGAUAACUACAGUAAUGUAUUAUGAAAAACUAACAAAGCGGUGCUUAGUGAAGUAGUGACCUAACUCUUU